This 305-nucleotide ribosomal RNA is filed under the name uncultured bacterium. Its description in RNAcentral is "bacterial SSU rRNA". It matches the Rfam family "Bacterial small subunit ribosomal RNA", at positions 335 to 637 of the family's 1533-position model. The record is from RNAcentral.
GUUCCUACGGGGGGCAGCAGUGAGGAAUAUUGGUCAAUGGGCGGGAGCCUGAACCAGCCAAGUCGCGUGAAGGAAGAAGGUACUUAGUAUUGUAAACCUCUUUUGUCAGGGAACAAAGGCGGGGACGUGUCCCCGGAUGAGUGUACCUGAAGAAAAAGCAUCGGCUAACUCCGUGCCAGCAGCCGCGGUAAUACGGAGGAUGCGAGCGUUAUCCGGAUUUAUUGGGUUUAAAGGGUGCGUAGGCGGUUUGAUAAGUUAGAGGUGAAAUGUCGGGGCUCAACCCCGAAACUGCCUCUAAUACUGUU